RNAcentral lists this ribosomal RNA (254 nucleotides) under uncultured bacterium. RNAcentral's name for it is "partial 16S ribosomal RNA". It matches the Rfam family "Bacterial small subunit ribosomal RNA", at positions 524 to 776 of the family's 1533-position model. The record is from RNAcentral.
UACGUAGGGUGCGAGCGUUUGUCCGGAAUUAUUGGGCGUAAAGGGCUCGUAGGCGGUUUGUCGCGUCGGGAGUGAAAUCCACUGGCUUAACUGGUGGCUUGCUUUCGAUACGGGCAGACUGGAGUACUGCAGGGGAGACUGGAAUUCCUGGUGUAGCGGUGGAAUGCGCAGAUAUCAGGAGGAACACCGGUGGCGAAGGCGGGUCUCUGGGCAGUAACUGACGCUGAGGAGCGAAAGCGUGGGGAGCGAACAGG